RNA transcript from Chelonia mydas (Green sea turtle), 3015 nucleotides. It is a transcript of the gene named coiled-coil domain containing 15, with no coding region annotated. NCBI's taxonomy places the organism in Eukaryota, Metazoa, Chordata, Testudines, Cheloniidae. The transcript is spliced from 11 exons. The record is from RefSeq and is a predicted model, not a curated record.
CUGGGGGCGUGUCGUGGCGGGAGGGGCGUGUCCUGGGGCGGGGCGAGCGCGCUGGGCGGAAGCGGCGCCUGGAUUCAAAGUGGCGGUUGGCGGAAGCUGCUUCCGGGCGCGCGGAGCCUUGGCGUGCGGGGGGAGGGGGUGUCUCUGAGUUGCCAUGGUGACGGGGCUGUGGAUGAGGGGCUGGCUUCCCCUGUGACUGGGAUGCUGUCACCUGCGAAGCAGCAGCCCUGUGCCCGGAGCAUGGCAGUGGGACAGCCUGUAGGGGACAAAGCGAGGUGUCUGUGGGUGGCAGUGAACCAGGCGGUACUGGCUGAGAGGAACCAGAGUGUGGCCCCUGUGGGGGUUUGGGUGGAGAGCGCCCAAACUGGUGGCAAAUGGGAGGAGAGCAUUGCUUUCGCUUCAGCGUUUCAGGUUGAAGAGGACCUAAAGGAGCAGCAAAAGGAAAAAGAGGAAAAUCUGAAACGCUUCCAGGGGGAAGUAAAGCAGAGGGUGAAUCAGCAAAUCAAGAUGAGGAGAAAGCAGCAGCUCCAGAAAUCCUGUGAAGCGGCAGAAAAAGAAAGCUCUGUUGUGAUGCAGUGUUCGGAUUCUGCGCUUCACUUGACCCCCAAGAGGAAUACAUGUGUGUAUCGAAGUAAUGCGGCAUCUGCCAUUUGCAGUUCUGGUACCAACUUGAUCCCUGUGCAGCAGCUUUGUGUGAGCUGGGAGGAAGAGGGAAGAGAGAAGCAAAGCCAGUUAUUCCAUCAACAAGCCAACACACUUAGUAAAACCAUGAAACAGGUCCGUCGCCGGCUAGCAUCCUGCAAAACAGUGCCCAAAGGAGCGGGCCUGCCCGAACUUCCAGGAGGCGUCUGGGGUGUCAGCCCAACCAGAAACAAACCAGUGUCUCGCAGGCCAACUCCAGUGCAUGGAGAAGAGUGUGAGGAGUUUCCUCUGGCAGGACGUCAUGACCUUCCCGCUGAACUACAAGACCAGGCAACAGCCAGAAAGCAGGCCGAGCAGGGUGAUGACAACUUGUACUACAAACUAGAAUUUGGAAAAGUUUAUAAUGGAUUAAUGAAGGCGUCAGACCCUGCUGGCCCGUCUGCAGGUUUGAGCAUUGAUUGCCAAGCUCCCCUUGUACUUUGGCCUGGGAUAGACAGAGAAGAAACCAAGAAACAACGUCAAAAUCAGUACCUGAGAUACAGACGUCUCUUCAUGGAUAUUGAGAGAGAACAAGUAAAGGAACAGCAAAGGCAGAAAGAGCAUCAGAAGAAAAUUGCAAAAAUUAAGAGUGAGAAGGAGCACCAGCGUCGUGCAGAGGAGCAGAGGAUCCAGGAGAUGGCCUACCAGCAAGACACCUGUUCUGGGGAGAAAGCAUGUGAAAUACUGGCUCAGCUCAGACUGGAGGAGAGAAGAGUGAGGAAAAGUAAGGAAAAGCAACAGAGAAAUAAGGAAUACAUGAGGGAAACGGUUUUAUUUUUGCAGAUACAUGGAAGCUUUAAGAGCUCAGAUGAGGGAGAAGAUAAAACUGUAUAACAUUGACUUGCCUCCUUUGUGCUGCUGUGGCUCUGAUUUCUGGGACUCUCAUCCUGACACCUGUGCCAACAACUGCAUGUUCUACAAAAACCACAAAGAUACGAGCUGAAUAAUGAAGUCCAUGAUGAUGUUUUGUUCUGCCAACCUAUGCCAACACAUACAACUGGAGAAGCUAUUUUUAAAGUUAUUGAUGACUUUAUCAAAAACAAUGACUUGGAUUGGAGUCGUUGUGUUGGAAUAAGCAUGGAUGGCGCCAGAGCCAUGAUUGGCUCGAAGAAAGGAGUUGUUGCACAUAUUCAAGCUGUUGCACCAGAAGCAAAAUCGACUCAUUGUUGCAUUCACAGGGAAGCACUUGCAACCCAGAACAUGCAGGCAGAUCUAAAGCAAGUACUGGAUGAAGCUGUGAAAAUAAUCAAUUUUGUGAAAGGCCGCCCUCUGAACACCUGGCUGUUUUCUCAGCUUUGUGAUGAGAUGGGCAGUGAUUACACACACCUCCUAUUUCACACUGAAGUGCGUUGGCUUUCGUGUGGGAAAAGUUCUGAAUCGCCUGUUUGGAGCUGCAAGAAGAACUGCAAGGUUUUUUUUAGAUGAAACCUUUAACCUGCGAGACCGUAUACACGACUGGAAAUGGCUAUGCAAGCUAGCAUAUAUUGCAGAUAUAUCUUUGCUCAUUUAAACAACCUCAAUCUAUCCUUGCAAGGGAAACUCAUAUCCAUAUUCCAUGUUCAAGACAAUGUGAGCGCCAUGGUCGCAAAAUUGAAACUGUGGCAUAAACGUCUUAGUCAUCGUGAACUGGAUUCCUUUCCAUCUCUUCAUGACUUAGUAAUAAACUCGACUAAUGAACUUGCAAGCGAUGUGUUGCAAACCAUGAAGCAGCAUUUGGAAAGCUUGCAGAAGGAUCUUCAUAAGUAUUUCCCUGAACCGGACGGCACCUUUGAAUGGAUAAGGAACCCUUUUAUCAUCAGUGUUCAAACAUUGCCAAAUAACCUCUCUGCUUCAGAAAAACAACAGCUCUUGGAGCUGGCUUCAGAUAGCUUCCUGAAAACAAAAUUUGAGCAAAAUACACUGACGUCAUUUUGGUUGGGGGUUAGCUCUGAAUAUCCAGCUCUAUCAGAGAAAGCUGUCAAAUAUCUUCUACCUUUUCCCAUCUCGUAUUUAUGCGAGAUCAGAUUCUCUGCACUGGUUGGCAUCAAAACAAAACGAAAUAGUCUUAUUGACGUGGAGCCCCAUCUUCAUCUUAAGAUCACAAACAUUGAGCCAGAUAUCCCCGCGAUAGUGUCUGGUCACAAGCAGUUCCAUCCCUCACACUGAUUUCAAUACCGAAAUAGUAAGUAUUAAAACUAGUGCUUUCUUCUCUAACCUAACCAAACCAGCAUAUUUUAAUUUCAGAAUGAUACGAAUUCACUAAUAUAUGCUGUUCUGCCAGACUGUUUGCUUCUAUUAUUUUAAUUAUUUCUAGUACUAUUUGUAUAUAACUUAUUUCUAUUAAAAUUUUUGUUU